UACAGAGGUCCCAAGCGUUGUUCGGAUUCACUGGGCGUAAAGGGCGCGUAGGCGGCCCGCUAAGUCGAACGUGAAAUCCCGACGCUCAACUCGGGAACGUGCGUCCGAUACUGGCGGGCUUGAAUCCGGGAGAGGGAUGCGGAAUUCCAGGUGUAGCGGUGAAAUGACGUAGAUAUCUGGAGGAACACCGGUGGCGAAGGCGGCAUCCUGGACCGGCAUUGACGCUGAGGCGCGAAAGCUAGGGGAGCAAACGGGG
This 256-nucleotide ribosomal RNA is filed under the name uncultured bacterium. RNAcentral's name for it is "partial 16S ribosomal RNA". It matches the Rfam family "Bacterial small subunit ribosomal RNA", at positions 524 to 777 of the family's 1533-position model. The record is from RNAcentral.